UUUCCAGACUCCUACGGGAGGCAGCAGUGAGGGAUAUUGGUCAAUGGGGGGAACCCUGAACCAGCAACGCCGCGUGAGGGAAGACGGUUUUCGGAUUGUAAACCUCUGUCCUCUGUGAAGAUAAUGACGGUAGCAGAGGAGGAAGCUCCGGCUAACUACGUGCCAGCAGCCGCGGUAAUACGUAGGGAGCGAGCGUUGUCCGGAUUUACUGGGUGUAAAGGGUGCGUAGGCGGCCCUGCAAGUCAGAAGUGAAAUCCAUGGGCUUAACCCGUGAACUGCUUUUGAAACUGCAGGACUUGAGUGGAGUAGAGGUAGGCGGAAUUCCCGGUGUAGCGGUGAAAUGCGUAGAUAUCAGGAGGAACACCGGCGGCGAAGGCGGCCUGCUGGACCGUAACUGACGUUGAGGCUCGAAAGCGUGGGGAGCAAACAGGAUUAGAUACCCCAGUAGUC
Molecule: ribosomal RNA, 450 nt
Filed under: uncultured bacterium
Lineage: Bacteria
Description: bacterial SSU rRNA
Rfam family: Bacterial small subunit ribosomal RNA
Source: RNAcentral